AUUGAACGCUGGCGGCAGGCUUAACACAUGCAAGUCGAGCGGGGGAAGGUAGCUUGCUACUGGACCUAGCGGCGGACGGGUGAGUAAUGCUUAGGAAUCUGCCUAUUAGUGGGGGACAACAUCUCGAAAGGGAUGCUAAUACCGCAUACGUCCUACGGGAGAAAGCAGGGGAUCUUCGGACCUUGCGCUAAUAGAUGAGCCUAAGUCGGAUUAGCUAGUUGGUGGGGUAAAGGCCUACCAAGGCGACGAUCUGUAGCGGGUCUGAGAGGAUGAUCCGCCCAACUGGGACUGAGACACGGCCCAGACUCCUACGGGAGGCAGCAGUGGGGAAUAUUGGACAAUGGGGGGAACCCUGAUCCAGCCAUGCCGCGUGUGUGAAGAAGGCCUUAUGGUUGUAAAGCACUUUAAGCGAGGAGGAGGCUACUUUAGUUAAUACCUAGAGAUAGUGGACGUUACUCGCAGAAUAAGCACCGGCUAACUCUGUGCCAGCAGCCGCCGUAA
Molecule: ribosomal RNA, 501 nt
Filed under: uncultured bacterium
Lineage: Bacteria
Description: partial 16S ribosomal RNA
Rfam family: Bacterial small subunit ribosomal RNA
Source: RNAcentral